Molecule: ribosomal RNA, 224 nt
Filed under: uncultured bacterium
Lineage: Bacteria
Description: partial 16S ribosomal RNA
Rfam family: Bacterial small subunit ribosomal RNA
Source: RNAcentral
UACGAAGGGGGCUAGCGUUGUUCGGAUUUACUGGGCGUAAAGCGCACGUAGGCGGUUUGUUAAGUCAGGGGUGAAAUCCCGGAGCUCAACUCCGGAACUGCCUUUGAUACUGGCAAGCUAGAGUCCGGAAGAGGUAAGUUGGAACUCCGUAGUGUAGAGGUGGAAUUCGUAGAUAUUAGGGAAGAACAGCAAGUCGGCGAAGGCGGACGUUGACUAGGUCCGGC